CAAGGGGGCAGCGUUGUUCGGAAUUACUGGGCGUAAAGGGCGCGUAGGCGGCUUAUCAAGUCAGGCGUGAAAUUCCCGGGCUCAACCUGGGGGCUGCGCUUGAUACUGAUUGGCUUGAAUGCGGGAGAGGAUAGUGGAAUUCCCAGUGUAGAGGUGAAAUUCGUAGAUAUUGGGAAGAACACCGGUGGCGAAGGCGGCUAUCUGGCCCGUAAUUGACGCUGAGGCGCGAAAGCGUGGGGGAGCAAACAGGAUUAGAUACCCUGGUAGUCCACGCCGUAAACGAUGAAUGCUAGACGUUGGCGAGCAUGCUCGUCAGUGUCGGAGCUAACGCAUUAAGCAUUCCGCCUGGGGAGUACGGUCGCAAGAUUA
RNAcentral lists this ribosomal RNA (369 nucleotides) under uncultured organism. RNAcentral's name for it is "bacterial SSU rRNA". It matches the Rfam family "Bacterial small subunit ribosomal RNA", at positions 528 to 896 of the family's 1533-position model. The record is from RNAcentral.